UAAAUAAGGGAGCUUGGUCUUACGAAUCGAUAUAUGAAAAUAUACGAAAACAUUAGCUUAGAGCUUUUGGCUUGCAAACACUCUUAACUCACGUUGAUUUUCAGCCCACACACAACUCACACACACUAACACCUAAAACACACACACCAUUCACGCAUAUACCAUUUUUAGCUUGAGCUCAAGCUUUUGAGCUCCGAUUUGAGCACCGAGACGAGCGCCGAUCAUCUUUUCGAUCACGUAUCUAAGUAGGUCCUUUUGGGAAGUAACGACUUGAGGGAGAGAGUGACGUUACUCAUUGAUACAGAGACACAACGAGGUUGAGCUGAUGUGAUGAUGGUGCUGCAAUGAGCGGAGUCUCCAGGGUUGUUAAUAAAUAGUUAACCUGUCUAGAAUAUGUCUUCAUACAUAUGUCUAGCUACUUUCCGCUGCAAGAUGUUGUUGAUGUUAUAGUAUGUUAUGUCAUACUUUGAGUCUUAAGAGAAUGGUUUCAUAUGAUGUAUAACUUGAUUAAUGAUAUUAAUUAAGUUUUAUGUUGUCUUUCAUAGACUGUUCAAAAGAGUAUUAAUGAGUAAAUACGAUGAUUUUUCUUAAGUUAAGUAAGAUUUACGGUUUCAAAUGAUGCCCCUUUCUUUCCCUUAUUCUUUAACCCCAUCCCUAGUCGUAGAUCACUCGGCUUAACUAUCCUUAGUUAAGGCGGGC
Long non-coding RNA from Salvia miltiorrhiza (redroot sage), 699 nucleotides. RefSeq lists it as uncharacterized. The record is from RefSeq and is a predicted model, not a curated record. Lineage: Eukaryota; Viridiplantae; Streptophyta; Magnoliopsida; Lamiales; Lamiaceae. The transcript is spliced from 3 exons.